AUUGAACGCUGGCGGCAGGCCUAACACAUGCAAGUCGAACGGUAACAGGAAGAAGCUUUCUUCUUUGCUGACGAGUGGCGGACGGGUGAGUAAUGUCUGGGAAACUGCCUGAUGGAGGGGGAUAACUACUGGAAACGGUAGCUAAUACCGCAUAACGUCGCAAAACCAAAGAGGGGGACCUUCGGGCCUCUUGCCAUCGGAUAUGCCCAGAUGGGAUUAGCUUGUAGUCGGGGUAACGGCUCACCUAGGCGACGACCCCUAGCUGUAUGGAGAGGAUGACCAGCCACACGGGAACUGGGCCACGGUCCAGACUCCUACGGGGGGCAGCAGUGGGGAAUAUUGGACAAUGGGCGCAAGCCUGAUGCAGCCAUGCCGCGUGUAUGAAGAAGGCCUUCGGGUUGUAAAGUACUUUGAGCGGGGAGGAAGGGAGUAAAGUUAAUACCUUUGCUAAUUGACGUUACCCGCAGAAGAAGCACCGGCUAACUCCGUG
RNAcentral lists this ribosomal RNA (490 nucleotides) under uncultured bacterium. RNAcentral describes it as "partial 16S ribosomal RNA". It matches the Rfam family "Bacterial small subunit ribosomal RNA", at positions 30 to 507 of the family's 1533-position model. The record is from RNAcentral.